UAUGUGAUAUAAAUUAUAUGGAUGUAAUGAGUGUAAAAUGUCCAAUAAAAUGUGCUGGACCCUCCUCCCUGCUGUUGUGACCCUAAAGUAAAAGCAGACCUCAGGUUUACCUGCACCGCUUCCUCUUCCUCGCGGGAGAGCAAAGCACAAAUAAAAAGGGGCAGAGAUACAAAGUACAACUCACAAAAUAAAAGUCCGGUUUAUUGUCAAACAACAAACUUUGCACAUACAUCAAAACAGGCCGUCAUAAAACAAAAAGUCGCUGACAAAAACAAAACCAAAAGAAAAAAACAAAAGAAAGGAAAAAGAAAAGAGGCUCUUUUCUUUGGCCUUACCCUCCCAUACAAACAAACUAGUUAUGGUACAGCUAAAGUACAUACAUUAAAUUUACUGGAAUGCUCUGAGUUCAACGGCUUAAGAGGUUGUCUUUCAUGUUUUUAUUUUAUUUUUUUUUUAACUUUUUUACACGUUUUUCUAGGAUCUGUUGAGAUAUCGUAACAUGGUCAACCAAGUAAAAUCUUUCGUUAGAGAAGCACCGAUUUGGUCUGACGAGAUCGAGAGAGAAACUGCCCCCCCUCCCCUCUCCUAACAAUAUGUACAAAAAUAUAAAAUGUAAAUAAAAAUACAAACAAAUUCUCCUUUUGUGUUGUUGCUGAAGAGAAGCCGGAUUUCUGCGUUGUCGAUGCGGUGGCGGGUUCCUCUAGAAAAUUCGUCUCGCAGCGUUGAGGGGAGCUCGGGUGAGUGUGGACGUGGCGGGUGUUUGUUGAACUCUACUUGCUAAUGACCAUGUUGGAUUUUUUUAUUAUUAUUAUUUUUUCCUUUAAAUCAGUCCUCCAGCCCCUCCACCUGCGACAUAGAAAAACGGUCAGAGGUGAAGAAUCAGGAAGUGGUUCAGCAGGAUGGCGCGGGGGAAACGCAUCAAUCGUCAUCGUCGGUUUUCUGCUUCUUGGUUUCGACGUCGUCCUGAAAGAAGACAAGAAGAAGACGGUGGAGGGUUAGACCGGCGCCUGCUGGGUGUCAUGGCACCGCUCGUUUUAAGGGCGUCUUAGGCGCUGCUGCCUCACCUCAUCGUCGUCCUCGUCAUCCUCAGCUGCCCGUUUUGUGCCACCCUCAAUCUCGUCUUCAUCCUCCUCCUCAUCUUCCUCAUCACCUACAGGACAAAAGUUGAAAGGUGAAAAUUUUUAGACUCUAACAGGAGUUUAUUAUUUUUUAAAAGGCAAAUAAGCCUUCAAGCUACCUUCUCCAUCAUCUUCCUCUUCUUCCUCGUCCACCUCCUCGUCCUCCUCGUCAUCUACCUCGGGCUCACCGUUCUCCUCAUUCUCCUGGAAAACACAGAAAUGGUUAAAAAUGUCCACCUCUGUGCACAGAGUUGCUGCUGUGGCGGCGGUGAUGGCACUCACCUUUCCGUUGGUGGCGGCGUCUUUGCCGUUCUCCUUCUCCUCCACCAGCUUCUUCUCUUUCAGGUCCUGAAAACAAAUAAAAGCAAACAUCAGAAACUGAACCUGCUCAUCUGCCCACUGAAACGCGCUGCUGGGUUUAGACUCCGCCCACCGCUGCUACCUGCCCCUCUACCUACUGGCCUACUUAGCAGCGUCCCAGUGCUUGCUGGGAGCUGCACGUUUUUCAGCCUUCCUAUUUAAACACCAUAUUGGCCUCUGCAGAUCCUCCCCCCAUCUCCUUCCUCUCCUCCCACUCCAUCCCCUCUAAUGUGUUGUAAUCUGAUACUUUGAUGUGGCCCGCGGGGCAUUCUGGGUAUUGUAGUCUUCUAUGGGCCGCUGUCGCUGCCAUAUGUCACGAGACACGCCCGGGAGAAGCACUGCAAUACCCAGGAUGCACCCCGUUUAAAAUAACACAGGAGGGCGCAGGAGCAGGGAGGGAGCAGGAGGAGGGGUCGAUGAUGGAGGAGGAGGAGGCGGCGGAGAGAGCGCGAUGCACGCUGCUGCUGCUGCUCGUUGUAACGGAGGCAGGAAAGGACAAUAGAAGACGACACAUGGCAAGCGAGCGAAGCGAAGACACGGCACCUUCCGCCUCCGUGCUCGAGCUCAGCGCGCACUAACGCCGCUCCUCUUCCUCGUUUUGUUCCCCCACAGCCCAUUAUCCCCGCCGCACGCGCGCCUCACGCAUCCACACGUAGGCUGUUAUUGAUUAAUUGCUCUCCAUAAUCUUAUUGGUUGAAAUCCAUUAAGCUGUUAAGCGGCAGGAGGAGAGCAGGCUGCCCGCGCGCUGCGCGUAAAAACGCGCUUGUGCGUAAAAACGCUCCACAACUAAAAAUAGUGAACAGGCUCCCCGGAUUACCCGCGCUAAUGCCUGUCCAACUUUUCCCCUCUCCACCCCCUCCACCUUUACCACCUCCUCCAAAUGGACAUUUCUUAUAAUCGCUCAGAAUUAUUGAGAAUUAUUCUCGGGAUGAUCGCGGUCCGCGGAGCCACGACUCCCCCCGCGGGGGCGAUUAAACUUUUACCCGAUCUGAUCCAAAGUCCACGCGCACAAAAACUCGCGUUUUCACAACAAAAGCAGCUCAAACGUGUAAACGGAGGAAAACCCGCAGAAAGAGGGGAAAACCAGCAGCGUCACAUCACACCUCCACAGCCCGGCCACGCGCGCGCACGCGAGCACACACACACACACACACACACACAGGGAGAAAGAAGUGUCUGCAUUACAAAAAAAAGAAAGAAAAGUUUCCCGUGAGACCGAAGCGCGCCCUGCAAACAAACCCCGAAAACACCAAAGCAAAGCGGAAGCCCCGGGCUCAUAGCCGCUCACGCGCUCCGGGAGCGGAGACCGGAGCAGCUCAGGCUGGAGCAGCGGCGGCCGCCGACCUUCCGGAGUCGGUAAACAAACGGGGUCGGACGGUGCAGGCAGGCCGGUGGCUUUAACAAACGGGCUCACGGAAAUAAGAAAUAAAAAAGGCGGGAGGAAAAGUGCAGAACCGAAAGUUCACCGGAGGACUGCGCACCGCCUGACGCGCUGUCCUCCAUUCAAACGGAGCAAACCCCAGGCUGGAGGUCCGCGUCCACGCAUCCACCGGCCGCUGACGGAACCUCCCCUCGAUCUAAUCCGCGUUAAGAGCCCGAGAUGCGGGAUAAAUAUGCGCGGCGCCCCGGCGCUCACAACGAGCCCGAAAACCCCGCGGGGAGCGAGCCGGGGGACCGGAGCUGCUCGGUGUCCGGGUCUCGCUUGGAGGUGUGCGUGCCGGCAGGAGAACAGAGCUGCUCGCAGAAACAAAGACCCGCGCAGACCAGGACUCUCCGGACAAUGAGCCGCGGCGCUUUAACGCUGCCCGUGUCCGUGAUGCGGUGCCGAGACCCCCCACUUCCCUCUACACACCGAGUUCAGGGGCAAAGAGGCGAACACCGGCUUUUCUUCUCCUCCUCCUCCUCCUCAGACUCCACAAAGUCCGAGCGAGCGCGAAGCAACGACGGAGAGGUUUUAAAUGUAGGUUAGAGCCUGGAGAGCUUUAUUCUUGUAAGGGGCUCCGCGGAGACACGGCCCCGCGAAUGGAGGUGUGCGGCAGCUUACCUUGGCAGAGAUAUCCGAGCCGGAGUCGACCUGUGUGUCUGCCAUUGUUUAGUAGAAUAAAAUAAAGGACGGCUGAAAUGAAAGGUUGAAUAAAGUAAAUCCCCUCGUCUCAGUUAGCGGAUCAAUCAGUAUUAUAUUGUGCCAGUGGCCAACGCUUCUGACGGCCGAGCCUUUAAUAUAGGCUUGUGGGCGGGGUCUUCAUGAGGUCGGUGGUCUCUGAUUGGCCAGGGGCUCGACAGAGGCGUUCUCCUAGCGCGUCGAGUAACAAUGGAUAGAAUUUCUUAACCUAAAGGCCACGCCCCCUCCUAUUCUACCGCUGCAACCGUCCCUUUCUCCCCUAAAACAAUAAUCCGAGUCGAUAAAAGCCCACAAAACGGACCGGAGCCGGAACCGUGGCAGCUCCACAGCACCGUGAGCGCGAGAAAAUCGAGUUUCCAUCGAGUUACGCAGUAAAUAUGUCGAAUCGAGAGCGCUUCGGUUGACGUAGUGUCAGUUUGAUUGAUUGAUGUGCGUCUGGACGAGUCAAGCGGCGACUUCAGACGGUUUCUCCCGCCCACCGCCGCGACGGGGGAAUAGAGGCGAAGUGUUUGGGAGGGAAACGUGGACGACACGGAUGUUAUCACGGAUUAAAUCGGGCUUUUCUACGCAAACGUUAGUGUCACAUCUCAGGCUCCAUGUGAACAACAUCAGUCAGAUAAAAGGCGCUAACAGUGUAAAUGUGGAGCGGCGCCGCCAUGUCACAUCGCAGCUCUUCGUCGCCCCGCCCCUUCCCGACGUCCAUGUUUGAAACUCAUCCCUGUAUGUGCGCACUUGACACUCUUGAGGGCUUUUUUUUUUUUUUUACAUAACAGCCCAUAAAUUCGUGCGCCAAGGUCGAGACACAAAUAAACACUGUACCCGUCGAACAACACACACACAGCCGGCUCUGACGCCGUGAGUCGGGCUGUUCGGGCUCAGUGAGCGGGUGCAGUGAACAGUGC
This is a long non-coding RNA of Oreochromis aureus, 4502 nucleotides long. Lineage: Eukaryota; Metazoa; Chordata; Actinopteri; Cichliformes; Cichlidae. The record is from Ensembl.